UACGUAGGGGGCUAGCGUUGUCCGGAAUCAUUGGGCGUAAAGCGCGCGUAGGCGGCCCAGUAAGUCCGUUGUAAAAGUCAAAGGCUCAACCUUUGAAAGCCGAUGGAUACUGCUGGGCUAGAGUCCGGAAGAGGCGAGUGGAAUCCCUGGUGUAGCGGUGGAAUGCGCAGAUAUCAGGAGGAACACCGGUGGCGAAGGCGGAUCUCUGGGCCUUACCUGACGCUCAGGUGCGAAAGCUAGGGGAGCGAACAGG
Molecule: ribosomal RNA, 253 nt
Filed under: uncultured bacterium
Lineage: Bacteria
Description: partial 16S ribosomal RNA
Rfam family: Bacterial small subunit ribosomal RNA
Source: RNAcentral